GAUGAACGCUGGCGGCGUGCCUAAUACAUGCAAGUCGAGCGAAUGGAUUAAGAGCUUGCUCUUAUGAAGUUAGCGGCGGACGGGUGAGUAACACGUGGGUAACCUGCCCAUAAGACUGGGAUAACUCCGGGAAACCGGGGCUAAUACCGGAUAACAUUUUGAACCGCAUGGUUCGGAAUUGAAAGGCGGCUUCGGCUGUCACUUAUGGAUGGACCCGCGUCGCAUUAGCUAGUUGGUGAGGUAACGGCUCACCAAGGCAACGAUGCGUAGCCGACCUGAGAGGGUGAUAGGCCACACUGGGACUGAGACACGGACCAGACUCAUGCGGGAGGCAGAAGUUGGUAAUAUUCCGCAAUGGACGAAAGUCUGACGGAGCAACGCCGCGUGAGUGAUGAAGGCUUUCGGGUCGUAAAACUCUGUUGUUAGGGAAGAACAAGUGCUAGUUGAAUAAGCUGACACCUUGACGGUACCUAACCAGAAAGCCACGGCUAACUACGUGCCAGCCGCCGCCGUAA
RNAcentral lists this ribosomal RNA (515 nucleotides) under uncultured bacterium. RNAcentral's name for it is "partial 16S ribosomal RNA". It matches the Rfam family "Bacterial small subunit ribosomal RNA", at positions 28 to 523 of the family's 1533-position model. The record is from RNAcentral.